RNAcentral lists this ribosomal RNA (251 nucleotides) under uncultured bacterium. RNAcentral's name for it is "partial 16S ribosomal RNA". It matches the Rfam family "Bacterial small subunit ribosomal RNA", at positions 524 to 774 of the family's 1533-position model. The record is from RNAcentral.
UACGUAGGGGGCAAGCGUUAUCCGGAUUUACUGGGUGUAAAGGGAGCGUAGGUGGCGUGCCAAGUCAGGAGUGAAAACCCAGGGCCCAACUCUGGGACUGCUCUUGAAACUGGCAGGCUUGAGUGCUGGAGAGGUAAGCGGAAUUCCUAGUGUAGCGGUGAAAUGCGUAGAUAUUAGGAGGAACACCAGUGGCGAAGGCGGCUUACUGGACAGUGACUGACACUGAGGCUCGAAAGCGUGGGGAGCAAACA